Molecule: non-coding RNA, 46 nt
Organism: Schistosoma rodhaini
Lineage: Eukaryota; Metazoa; Platyhelminthes; Trematoda; Strigeidida; Schistosomatidae
Source: Rfam
GCACUACUGAGGAGUCCCACAAUAGGACGAAACGGCAGUCCAGUUC